Molecule: ribosomal RNA, 253 nt
Filed under: uncultured bacterium
Lineage: Bacteria
Description: partial 16S ribosomal RNA
Rfam family: Bacterial small subunit ribosomal RNA
Source: RNAcentral
UACAGAGGUCUCAAGCGUUGUUCGGAUUCAUUGGGCGUAAAGGGUGCGUAGGCGGCGCGGUAAGUCGGGUGUGAAAUCUUGGAGCUUAACUCCGAAACUGCAUUCGAUACUGCCGUGCUUGAGGACUGGAGAGGAGACUGGAAUUUACGGUGUAGCGGUGAAAUGCGUAGAUAUCGUAAGGAAGACCAGUGGCGAAGGCGGGUCUCUGGACAGUUCCUGACGCUGAGGCGCGAAAGCGUGGGGAGCGAUCCGG